RNAcentral lists this long non-coding RNA (209 nucleotides) under Carica papaya (papaya). RNAcentral describes it as "long non-coding RNA (CPAP_LNC002238)". Lineage: Eukaryota; Viridiplantae; Streptophyta; Magnoliopsida; Brassicales; Caricaceae. The record is from RNAcentral.
AAUUGAAUUCCUUUAAAUCAAAAUAAUCAAGUUUUGUUUAUGACUCUUCAAGGAAUUCUAACUGAGAAAAGCAAGAAAUGAAUCUAGAUGAUAAUAGAAAAACACACGGAUAUAAAAGAUGUGUGUUUGUGUAUAAGGUUAAGUAGCUACGCUGUAAUUACCUACUUAAUGAUGUAUUGGAACAAAACAACACAAUAAAAUAAAAGAAA